RNAcentral lists this long non-coding RNA (859 nucleotides) under Brassica napus (rape). Its description in RNAcentral is "long non-coding RNA (BNAP_LNC024547)". The record is from RNAcentral. Lineage: Eukaryota; Viridiplantae; Streptophyta; Magnoliopsida; Brassicales; Brassicaceae.
CCUUGUGUUCUGUCCAUUGAUGACUGAGGUUACAUUACAUUUGACUUCCUCGAUCUCACUGACGGUAGCUGUCAAACAAUCCAUCUCUUUGACAAUUGUAGGUGUGCCUAUCACUUGAAGUGGAUUCAAGUCAUUCCACAUUCCCGUCUGCCCCCCCCCCCCCCAAAAAAAAAAAAAAAAAAAAAAAAAAAAAAAAAGAGUUUUCAUUCAAAUUACAGAGCAAAAAGGUUCAAGUGACCUACCUGUAUGAAAUACUUUUCUUGCUCUUCAGCAAAAGGCUUUGUUAAAACGCUCAUAUCAACGCCGUAGUAGGUUUUGAUCUCAUCUGAAAAGUUAUCCCAAUCCGCCAUUGCCCCAUCCAAAUCACUCUUCUUCNNNNNNNNNNNNNNNNNNNNNNNNNNNNNNNUUCUUCCGAUCUGCCAUGUUAGACUUGAUAGGUGCAAACCACAUGCGAGCAUGACUAGGGUACCUAUUGGUAACAACAUUAUUAGUUUACAAUAACAACAAACCCAAACCAAACUAUGAUGCAUAUUUCAAAUAACAGAAAUCAACUUACAUGACACCGGUGGGCUUCAACCAACGGUCACGAGCACAAAUCACAGAAUCAAACAUGGACUCACGAAGAAGGAAGUAUCCCAUCCACUCCGAGAUAAUCACAUCAACUGCCCGUCAAAUUGAAUACAUAUAACAACAUAUCAGAUUCAUGUAAUGUAUAAUACUCAAAACCAAAAUUAAAAACAAUACCUUUCUCAGGCAAAGAGAUAUCUUCGACAGAACCUUGAAUGACUUCAACAACAUGUUCAAGAUUGUUAGCUUUGACAAGAGCACGAGCAUGAUCAGCCAUUGAAGUAGCUUCAAC